AUUGAACGCUGGCGGCAGGCUUAACACAUGCAAGUCGAGCGGGGUGAUGGUGCUUGCACUAUCACUUAGCGGCGGACGGGUGAGUAAUGCUUAGGAAUCUGCCUAUUAGUGGGGGACAACAUCUCGAAAGGGAUGCUAAUACCGCAUACGUCCUACGGGAGAAAGCAGGGGAUCACUUGUGACCUUGCGCUAAUAGAUGAGCCUAAGUCGGAUUAGCUAGUUGGUGGGGUAAAGGCAUACCAAGGCGACGAUCUGUAGCGGGUCUGAGAGGAUGAUCCGCCACACUGGGACUGGGACACGGCCCAGACUCCUACGGGAGGCAGCAGUGGGGAAUAUUUGACAAUGGGGGGAACCCUGAUCCAGCCAUGCCGCGUGUGUGAAGAAGGCCUUAUGGUUGUAAAGCACUUUAAGCGAGGAGGAGGCUCUUUUGGUUAAUACCCAAGAUGAGUGGACGUUACUCGCAGAAUAAGCACCGGCUAACUCUGUGCCAGCAGCCGCAGUAA
RNAcentral lists this ribosomal RNA (503 nucleotides) under uncultured bacterium. RNAcentral describes it as "partial 16S ribosomal RNA". It matches the Rfam family "Bacterial small subunit ribosomal RNA", at positions 30 to 523 of the family's 1533-position model. The record is from RNAcentral.